RNAcentral lists this ribosomal RNA (253 nucleotides) under uncultured bacterium. Its description in RNAcentral is "partial 16S ribosomal RNA". It matches the Rfam family "Bacterial small subunit ribosomal RNA", at positions 524 to 776 of the family's 1533-position model. The record is from RNAcentral.
UACAGAGGGGGCAAGCGUUGUUCGGAAUUACUGGGCGUAAAGGGCGCGUAGGCGGCCCUCUAAGUCAGACGUGAAAUCCCUCGGCUCAACCGGGGAACUGCGUCUGAGACUGGAAGGCUUGAAUUCGGGAGAGGGAUGUGGAAUUCCAGGUGUAGCGGUGAAAUGCGUAGAUAUCGAGCGGAACACCAGUGGCGAAGGUGAGUCCCUGGACAAUUCCUGACACUGAGGCACGAAAGCUAGGGGAGCAAACAGG